This is an unclassified non-coding RNA of Drosophila serrata, 4586 nucleotides long. The record is from RefSeq and is a predicted model, not a curated record. Lineage: Eukaryota; Metazoa; Arthropoda; Insecta; Diptera; Drosophilidae.
UUGGCACAACAAAAGAAAAAAAGUUUGCAAGUUCCUGGCGCGUUCGUUUCUUGCUUCGUUCACCGAGUAAGAAGCAAGGCAAAAGGAACUGACUUUACGCACAAAAAACAACGCAAGCCUUAAAGCGCAGCAGAAUGUGGAAAGCGUAGUAAAAAAAGGCAGUAGAUAGACAGCACGCAACGAAGGCCGGAAAAACGUGUGGAAAUGACUCGCUAAUUAAUUAGCUAAAUAGGCAUAGAAAAGCGGCGAAAGUAGGUGUACCUUCCUAGCACAACAACAACAACAAAACACUCCGAUUUGUUGCAAAAUUUAUACCAACCAAAAGGCUUAAGAUGACAUCAUACGCAAAUGACACAACUACCGCGGCAGCAGCACCACCAGCAACAACAACAACAACAACAACAGCAACUGCCACAUCAGCUGGCGAAGCACCAGUGGGUGCAGGAGCAGCAACAACUACACCAGGCAACGCCUCCCUGCCAGCUGUUGGGGACAUGGUCACAGCAUCUGAUUCAUCCAAGGCCAAGAGCGGGGACAGCCUAUCCAUCGGACGAAGGGUGUAUCCCGACGAAGAUGGCAACAGCAGCGAUGGCCGGGAAAAGGCCGAUACAACGCCGGAGAACCUCAAGAAAAUUGCGGAAAUCAUUGACAGUCCGGAUGGCUCCAAUCCGGCCAUUUCGCCGGUCUCCUUGUCACCCCGUCACGUCCAGCUCAGGAAUCCAACAGCAAAUCCCGGCUAUGUAGGCCUCGGAGCAGCCAUCGAUGAGUCCAGCGGCAAGUUUUGCCUUGGAAAGCCGCCACCAUCGCCGGCCGAAAAAGCAGCGGCGGCACAUAGCAGAGCCAACCAGCAACACCGGCAACAACUUGGCAACUCCUCAAAGUCAGCUCCCGAUGAGGAGGAGAACUCGAGCGGAUCGAAUGCUACCACGAAAGCAUCUCUGGCCUUCACCAUUGACCACUUUGACGAUGCCACGGAGAACGAUGCAGCGGCUCAGGCGGCGCGCUACAAGAAUAUGAUGGAGCGCUUCCAGAAUCGUCACAAACGGGGUGCCUCCAUGUCAAAGCUGGAGACGGAGAGGGAUAACAACAACACCGCCACCACCACAACCUCAAACAGUGGACGACACUCACAGCGAAGCAGCUUGGAUGCCGGAAGUAGCAUGGCAGAUGAUAUAUCCUCAAUGACAGCGGCCACACCAUCCAGCGAACAAGCGCCACCGGUCCAGGUGAAGAUGCGGGUGAGAGAUCGCAGUGCGUCUCGUGUGAGAGAUGCCUCCAAGCGGCACAGUUGGUCGCCAAGGAGCUCGGCGAAUGCAGCAGAAUCAGCGCAGACAGCGGCACCAAGACCCGCUAGUAGAUCCAAACUGCCAGCGCCACCGGCAUCCACCAAGGGUACAUCCAACUCGCUGGCCAAUCGUACGACCAAUCAGUUCACACCACGCUCCACGGCCAUGCAGCUGGCCCUGCGCCAGGUGGAGAUGCUGUGUCCAGAGCCACCGCUAGCGGAUGGCAAAAAUCUAGCAGAUGAUGCAGUGAGCGAAGCGGGAACAUACACCCUCGACGGGGACAACUAUACGGAAGAGCAAAAGGAUCUCAUGAACAUUGAUAGGAAUGGAAAGAAGAUAGGAGGAGGUGGAGGAGGUGCUGCUGUCAAGAUGCGGCCAAAACAAUUGCCGGUCAAGGCGAAUCGGGGUAGCAAUGUCUUAGAGGUAAACUUCUACCAUGAAACGCCGCUACAGGAGCAACUGCCACCAGCUCAAAGAAGCUCCACAGGUGCCUAUUUGGAUCAACUAAAGAGUCGCGUGCUCCGCCAGCCGGCUCCUCUAUCACCUCCCACUCCCCCAUCGCCGGCAGCGGAUGUGGGUUGCUUUACCAGUGUCACCACCAGUGGUGUGCUGGCCAAACAGCGUGCCCUGGACACACAUCCCAAGCUCACCCGGCACUCGCACAGUCUGUCCACCUCGCAGAUCGAUAGCUCCGAGUAUGUGAGCAAUGAGGCCAAGUUAAGGCAUACCCAGGCAUUGGCUGGUUCGGCCACAGAUCGCCAGAAGGCCGAAUAUCGCCUGAAUGUGUUCACCACCAGUACCAAUCAGCAACAGCAGCAUCAUCAUCAUCAUCAUCAGUUACCAGAGACACCCACAACGCCCACAAGCACAUCUCAGGGAUCAGAGGCUGCUCUGCUGCAGACGGCGCAGACCAAGCAGGAUUGGAUCCAGGAAUGGGCACGUAAUGCUCGAGCCCGUAGUCUGGCCCAGGAUGUGAGUGGAACCAGUGCCAGUCGCCGGAAGCAGCAGCAACAGCAGCAGGCCCAAGCACAGCAACUAAUGACACGCAGCUACAAUUGCUCGGACACCGGAGGCGACUCCUUGACGGACGACAGCCUCAGCCUGUAUAACCAGCAACAGCAGCGUCAAUAUGCCGCAGCCGCCAAGCUCAAUCGUAACUUGGCCGAGCGUUAUCGCCUGCUGGGUGACUGUGACUACGCCAGCGAUCCGGCGUUGUGCAGCCAUGGCGGUCAGGGCGCGAUGGAGCCACCAUAUAAGCCACCCAAGAGCCCCAGCAAGAUACCCUCACCGCUGCACACGCUGGGACGUGCGCGCAGUGCCAGUCGCUCGCGGCCGCCAACGGAUGCGUAUUUGGAGCAAACAGCUGCCGCUAUAAGCAACCUGCAGCAGUCACUCUCCCGCAGGAGUUCGGUCAAGUCACCGGCACAGAGCAGUCCACAGCAUAGCCUGGAAUCGGGCAUGAUGGGAGCGGGAGCAGGCGGUGGCUACAGGCGAUCGCCGCUCCAUCGAGCCCUCAUGACCAGCAGCAUCAAUGAGGCGCAGUUGCAGUUGCUAACCAGUGGAGAGUAUCUCCUCAAGCAGUUGCGUCGCCGCAAGAACUCCCUGGAGUAUGAUCCUGGCCAGGAGGUGGAGCAGGAUGAGCCUGUUGCCCCUGCCAGCCCCUUGUCGCCGCUGCGUCGUUCGACCAGCUUCCAACAGCAUCAGCAGCAGCAGCAGGGACAACAUCCAGUGCGGCAGGCUCGACCCAAUUUCCAGAACCUCUACACACCGCCCGCUGCCCGACAUGCUCGCGCCCUGAGCACCGCCCACCAGCAGCAGCAGUUGAAGAAAUCCGCCAGCAGCAAUAACUUUGAGCAGGCCUACAGCGACUACGACAAUGAGUUGCAGUACUACAUCAACGAUGAGGAUGAAAUGGGCACCACUGGGGCCUACUACUCCAGCAAUGAGGAGGAGGACAUGGAACAGGAACACGAAGGAACACAAGGAUCGGUGCCGCUGAGCAACACACGCAUGAACAAGGCCCUGCUGAUGCGGAUAGAGAGGAGCAAGCAACGCGUAGCCGGCGGAGGAUCACAGGCACCAGUAAAACCCACUUCAGCGCCAGCUGCUGGCAAGCUGAGCGUUGCACAAAGUGGCGCUGGUCUGGUGGCCUGUCCCAAUACGCCGGAGAUGCCACGCCGGGGUAUAAAAAGUGCGCCUAGGGCAGCGCCAGGAUCCGGUGGCACUCGGAACACUCGCCAGUCUAUGCCCAGGGAAACGAGUCUUAGUCGAUUGGCCCAACAGGUGCCCAGUUCGCUGGCCAAUGCCAAAAAGCAGCUACUGCAAACGGCCAAUGCUGGUGUCAACUCCAAUCCUGGCGGAGGUCAGCGUGUGCAGCCGAAAUAUCUAGACAUCUCCAAGUACAAGUCAGCGCAGUCGAAUAACUUUCUGCGAAAGAACGAUUCCAAGAGCACCUUGAAGCCGGCAGAUCAAAUGAAACGCAGUCCCAGUGCCUCCUCCAUGGGUCUCAGUCGUGGCGAGGGAACGCGAGCUAGCAAUCGGAGUGUGCGAAGUGCAGCCUCUGCCAUGAAUACCAGCACUACAUCGUUGGGUGGUGGCACUACCGGAGGAAGAGCCUCUUCUGCCGUGCGACGUGAUCUCUCAGUUAACAAACAAAAGGAAGCCGAAAUGGCCAUGUGGAAGAGACGCUCGACCUAUGAUCCCAUGAAGGCGGCCGCCGAGGAUCGACGCAAGAAGGAGGAGGCCCGUCGUGCCCAAACCAACCAGGCUCAGCGACAGAUGAACGAUAUGGCCGAUGAGGAAGUGCCUUUCGAGAGACCAUCACGAUCCCACUACCGCCGUGGACAGUUAUGACCAACGGAUGGUGUGCUAGUUACCGAUUUCUGAGCCAUUCAACCUCUACACAACCUAAACAUUCAGUCGAUUAUCUUUCCACGAAACCGAAAAAAAAAGAAAACCAAAUACUUUCCACAUGCCACGCGAUCCAAACACGGUGCAAGCAGCAGCAGCGUCAGCAGCAGAUUGUAUCACUAUAAUCAAAUUCUAGUGCCAGUUACAAUCGCCGAAUCGAAUCGAAUCCAAUCGAACAACGAUCAAUUUGAAAAAUGGAUCUAUCUUGGAUAGUAUCCACAAAAAUAGUAUAUAUAUUUACGAUUUUCCGAUGCAACACGACAACUAAACAAAAGAAAUAUACAACGAGAGCCAAGCCAAAGCCAGCCGAUGAUCCGAAUGCCAAUUGUGCUGCGUCCGGCCAACAAUCUGACCAUUACGAGCGGCGGCGUGAGCUACAGCCCGCGAAAC